CUUCAUCCCCCGAAUAUGCACAGGGUGGCAUUCAAUGAGCAAGCUCACUUGACCGACGUAGUCGCCUCUAAGAAUGCUUCCAAAUCCAUGUUGACAGAGUAUUUCAAAGCUAACCAAAACCACUCGUGGGCUAGGAAUAUAUUGUACAAGGAUUUUCCUGGAAGGUUCACAUGGCAGAAGGGUAAAAAGUAUUGGAAAGAGCGGGUGGAGCGUUAUCAGAUAGGUCGAAUUGUGUCUGCCAAUCCUGCCGAGGGGGAGCGAUACUAUCUGCGUGUGCUGCUAAACCAUGUUGCUGGCAAGACAUCCUAUGAGGACCUACUCACCGUGGACAGUAGGCUAUGCGGGAGCUUUAGAGAGGCUGCCGAAAGGUUGGGACUCAUCGAGGCAGAUAACACGCUCGACGACUGUCUUACCGAG
This 417-nucleotide ribosomal RNA is filed under the name Triticum aestivum (bread wheat). RNAcentral's name for it is "partial small subunit ribosomal RNA". Lineage: Eukaryota; Viridiplantae; Streptophyta; Magnoliopsida; Poales; Poaceae. The record is from RNAcentral.